GACGAACGCUGGCGGCGUGCCUAAUACAUGCAAGUUGAGCGCUGAAGGUUGGUACUUGUACCGACUGGAUGAGCAGCGAACGGGUGAGUAACGCGUGGGGAAUCUGCCUUUGAGCGGGGGACAACAUUUGGAAACGAAUGCUAAUACCGCAUAAAAACUUUAAACACAAGUUUUAAGUUUGAAAGAUGCAAUUGCAUCACUCAAAGAUGAUCCCGCGUUGUAUUAGCUAGUUGGUGAGGUAAAGGCUCACCAAGGCGAUGAUACAUAGCCGACCUGAGAGGUGAUCGGCCACAUUGGGACUGAGACACGGCCCAAACUCCUACGGGAGGCAGCAGUAGGGAAUCUUCGGCAAUGGACGAAAGUCUGACCGAGCAACGCCGCGUGAGUGAAGAAGGUUUUCGGAUCAUAAACUCUGUUGGUAGAGAAGAACGUUGGUGAGAGUGGAAAGCUCAUCAAGUGACGGUAACUACCCAAGAAAGGGACGGCUAACUACGUGCC
This 498-nucleotide ribosomal RNA is filed under the name uncultured bacterium. RNAcentral describes it as "bacterial SSU rRNA". It matches the Rfam family "Bacterial small subunit ribosomal RNA", at positions 28 to 509 of the family's 1533-position model. The record is from RNAcentral.